UCCAGUCCGCGUGCUAGAACCAAGCCGCUCCAGAAAUGUAACCACCAGCAUCCCACCCCUGGGUGGGCAGAUUUUACCUGCAUAAAAUUUUUGUAUAGUGUAUACCGGUCCAUGCCGGUCCGGUUUUUUUACAUGAACGUCAAAUUGUCUUCUACACAGGGGUGUUUUAGAUGCUCAAGCAUCUGCCCCAUCUCCCCUUUUUUCCCCUGUGCAUUGCUCAUAUGACUUAUCAAGAAGAAUUUUAGCAGCCAGUGACACUCAUGGAUAUUGGACACUGGCAAACAGGACGGCGUGGCAUUUCUUGUUCUCAAUCGUUAUAAUAUAUAAUCGUAAAAUGGUAGCAGAGGGGCCUGGAGCCUAUCCCUGGCUGCCGAGGACAGCAAGCAGGGAGACACGCUGGCUGGGAUGGCAUGGAUGUGUAGCUGUAUGUGAGCGUCACCUUCCCCGCAUCCAGCAGCUGACAUCGCCAUUUCCUCUGGUCCUUCUCUGUCCUCCGAUGGUCAAUCGGCAGAGUGGAGUUACAGG
Long non-coding RNA from Brienomyrus brachyistius, 525 nucleotides. RefSeq lists it as uncharacterized. Lineage: Eukaryota; Metazoa; Chordata; Actinopteri; Osteoglossiformes; Mormyridae. The record is from RefSeq and is a predicted model, not a curated record. The transcript is spliced from 3 exons.